CUAUAACCACCCUAACAGGUAUCAAUUACUAUCUGUGGACUCAGACAUUGAUAAUGAAGAUUAUUUUUGAGAAAUCAAUACACAGACAAAUGCACAAGCUCAAAUUCCCUACCCUACAAGAGUGAGGAAACAAAGUUUAAGUUUAGAGGAAGGAGAAGUGGGAGAAGAUCACAAAAGGGAAAGAUUAGAGAGACAGUAACACAUCUUACUGAAAAGGAAC
Non-coding RNA from Pelobates cultripes (western spadefoot toad), 220 nucleotides. The record is from the annotation of a GenBank genome assembly. Lineage: Eukaryota; Metazoa; Chordata; Amphibia; Anura; Pelobatidae.